RNAcentral lists this ribosomal RNA (429 nucleotides) under uncultured bacterium. Its description in RNAcentral is "bacterial SSU rRNA". It matches the Rfam family "Bacterial small subunit ribosomal RNA", at positions 355 to 776 of the family's 1533-position model. The record is from RNAcentral.
UGGGGAAUCUUGCACAAUGGGGGAAACCCUGAUGCAGCCAUGCCGCGUGUGUGAAGAAGGCCUUCGGGUUGUAAAGCACUUUCAGCGAGGAGGAAAGGUGAUCGUUUAAUAAACGGUUGCUGUGACGUUACUCGCAGAAGAAGCACCGGCUAACUCCGUGCCAGCAGCCGCGGUAAUACGGAGGGUGCAAGCGUUAAUCGGAAUUACUGGGCGUAAAGCGCGCGUAGGUGGUUUGUUAAGUGGGAUGUGAAAGCCCCGGGCUCAACCUGGGAAUUGCACCCCAAACUGGCAAACUAGAGUACAAGAGAGGGGUGUGGAAUUUCCUGUGUAGCGGUGAAAUGCGUAGAUAUAGGAAGGAACAUCAGUGGCGAAGGCGACGCCCUGGCUUGAUACUGACACUGAGGUGCGAAAGCGUGGGGAGCAAACAGG